Long non-coding RNA from Telopea speciosissima, 184 nucleotides. RefSeq lists it as uncharacterized. Lineage: Eukaryota; Viridiplantae; Streptophyta; Magnoliopsida; Proteales; Proteaceae. The record is from RefSeq and is a predicted model, not a curated record. The transcript is spliced from 2 exons.
UACUGCAUCUCUUGCCAAAGCAGGCAAUGAGAUGAACAUGAAGAAAGCAUGUGCACGACCUGUAAGGAAAUGCAUGCAUAGAUAAAACACAUGCAAUCACAAGCUUUUGUGCCAAAACAUUAAAAGCAAACAUACAGCCAACCAAAUGCAUGCAACUAAAAUAUCCUUGGUAAAUGCCCAGACA